Molecule: ribosomal RNA, 808 nt
Filed under: uncultured Bacillota bacterium
Lineage: Bacteria; Bacillati; Bacillota
Description: bacterial SSU rRNA
Rfam family: Bacterial small subunit ribosomal RNA
Source: RNAcentral
AAAGUCCGCAAGGAUGAGUAAAGUGGCGUACGGGUGAGUAACACGUGGAUAACCUGCCCUUUAGUGGGGAAUACCGCUGGGAAACCGGCGACAAUACCGCAUAAGCUCGAGAGAGGAAAGCAGCAAUGCGCUGAAGGAGGGGUCCGCGGCCGAUUAGCUAGUUGGCAGGGUAAAAGCCUACCAAGGCUGUGAUCGGUAGCCGGCCUGAGAGGGCACACGGCCACACUGGCACUGAAACACGGGCCAGACUCCUACGGGAGGCAGCAGUGGGGAAUCUUGCACAAUGGGGGAAACCCUGAUGCAGCGACGCCGCGUGAGCGAUGAAGCCCUUCGGGGUGUAAAGCUCUUUCGGCAGGGACGAUUAUGACGGUACCUGCAGAAGCAGCUGCGGCUAACUACGUGCCAGCAGCCGCGGUAAUACGUAGGCAGCAAGCGUUGUUCGGAGUUACUGGGCGUAAAGGGUGCGUAGGCGGCUUCUUAAGUCUGGUGUGAAAUCUCCCGGCUCAACUGGGAGGGUGCGCCGGAUACUGAGGGGCUAGAGUGUGGGAGAGGAAAGUGGAAUUCCUGGUGUAGCGGUGAAAUGCGUAGAUAUCAGGAGGAACACCGGUGGUGUAAACGGCUUUCUGGACCAUAACUGACGCUGAGGCACGAAAGCGUGGGUAGCAAACAGGAUUAGAUACCCUGGUAGUCCACGCCCUAAACGAUGCAUAUUUGGUGUGGGCCAUUCAUUUGGUCCGUGCCGGAGCUAACGCGUUAAAUAUGCCGCCUGGGGAGUACAGUCGCAAGGCUGAAACUCAAAGGAAUUGAC